AGAGUUUGAUCCUGGCUCAGGACAAACGCUGGCGGCGUGUAUUAGGCAUGCAAGUCGCACGGAGUCUUCGGACUCAGUGGCGGACGGGUGAGUAACACGUGGGUAACCUGCCUCGGAGUGGGGAAUAACUCACCGAAAGGUGAGCUAAUACCGCAUACCACUCUCGAUGAGAAUUCGAGUAGUAAAAGCAGUAAUGCGCUCUGAGAGGGGCCCGCGGCCGAUUAGCUUGUUGGUGGGGUAAUGGCUUACCAAGGCGACGAUCGGUAGCUGGUCUGAGAGGAUGGUCAGCCACACGGGGACUGAGAUACGGCCCCGACUCCUACGGGAGGCAGCAGCUAAGAAUCUUGCGCAAUGGGCGAAAGCCUGACGCAGCAACGCCGCGUGGAGGACGAAGGCCCUCGGGUUGUAAACUCCUUUUGCGAGGGAAGAAGAUCUGACGGUACCUCGCGAUAAGCCACGGCUAACUACGUGCCAGCAGCCGCGGUAAUACGUAGGUGGCGAGCGUUGUCCGGAUUUACUGGGCGUAAAGAGCCCGCAGGCGGUCCGUUAAGUUUCAGGUGAAAUCUCCUGGCUCAACUGGGAGGAUGCCUGGAAAACUGGCGGACUUGAGGCAGGGAGAGGGAUGUGGAAUUCCCGGUGUAGUAGUGAAAUGCGUAGAUAUCGGGAGGAACACCAGUGGCGAAGGCGGCAUCCUGGCCCUGUCCUGACGCUCAGGGGCGAAAGCGUGGGGAGCAAACCGGAUUAGAUACCCGGGUAGUCCACGCCGUAAACGAUGGAUACUAGCUGUUGGAGGUAUCGACCCCUUCAGUAUCGAGGCUAACGCGUUAAGUAUCCCGCCUGUGGAGUACGGUCGCAAGACUAAAACAUAAAGGAAUUGACGGGGAGCCGCACAAGCGGUGGAUUAUGUUCUUUAAUUCGAUGAUAACCGAAGAACCUUACCAGGGUUUGACAUCCUUGGAAUUUCUAUGAAAGUAGAGAGUGCUUUAUUGAGCCAAGUGACAGGUGAUGCAUGGCCGUCGUCAGCUCGUGUCGUGAGAUGUUUGGUUAAGUCCAUCAACGAGCGCAACCCUUGUGAAUAGUUGUAUUUUUCUAUUCAGACUGCCCCGGUAACGGGGAGGAAGGAGGGGAUGAUGUCAGGUCAGUAUUUCCCUUACACCCUGGGCUAGAAACAUAAUACAAUGGCCAGUACAAUGCGCAGCGAAGCCGCGAGGUG
Molecule: ribosomal RNA, 1213 nt
Filed under: metagenome
Description: bacterial SSU rRNA
Rfam family: Bacterial small subunit ribosomal RNA
Source: RNAcentral